UGACAGGAUAUUUACAAAUGAUACAUAGUAUUCAAUUUAAUAUCUCUUAUGAAUAAGUAUGACGUAUAAUAACUACUAAUUUAAAUUAUAGUGAGACAAAAUUGAUUUAGCUUGGUGGUGAUGCGGGGAUGUGGAUCUGUUUUGAUCCUAUAGGAAGCCGAGAAGGCUGGCGUGCUUCUAUUUUAUUCUUCAUAUUUCUUUAUUGGACAUCUUUUGGUAUUGAUGGCAGUUUAACAAAUGCAGCUACAUCUAAUGUCCCCCAUAAUACUGUUACUCCAGAAGUAUCACUACCAGUUUCAACACACCAUAAAGACGACGAAUGUAGGAAUGUGACCACAGACAAUAGAGCUGCUACUGGUUUGUCAGUGGUCAGUCAAGGAUCUGGAUCUCCUCAUUCGCCGAUAGUGCCUCCAACUUUUCUGUACAGAGUUCUUACCUGCCAACCUUAUCAAGGAAUUUCUGUGAACCACAUCUAUUUUCAACUAGCAAAUGUCUUCUUUCUAUUGUCACAUCUUGCACCAAGUGGCAUACAUGGUGUACUUUAUUUAAGGUGCACUCUGCUCGUGGGCUGUGCCUUUCUUGCUUUGUGGGGCUGGACAAUAGUUUGUUGGCUGGACGCUGCUCUCUGGAAUGCUCUGUUUGUUGCCAUCAACUUCGUCCAUGUAUGCACGCUUCUUUACAAGCUCAGGCCUAUCAAGUUUUCAAGGGAAGUUGAAGAGGUAUAUAUUGCAGUGUUCCAGCCAUUAAGAGUAUCACGUCAUCAGUUUAAAAGAGUAUUAAAUUGUAUGAAAGUUAUUCGACAGUUGAAGUAUCAAGAAGUUUAUGCCCAAGAAAAAGUGACCAAAGUUGAUUCUUUAUCUUUGGUACUUUCUGGAAGGUUAGUAGUAUCGCAAAAUGGAAGAGCAUUGCAUAUUGUCUUCCCACAUCAGUUCCUGGAUUCUCCAGAAUGGUUUGGUGUCUCCACGGAUGAGUACUUUCAGGUAUCAAUAACAGCUAUGGAAGAAUCAAGAAUAUUAUUGUGGCAUAGAGACAAGUUAAAGUUAAGCAUAAUUAGUGAUCAAUUUCUGCAGGCAGUGUUUGAUCAUAUUUUGGGAAGGGAUGUAGUAAAAAAAUUGCUGCAGGUUAGUGAAACAAUGGCUGCUAGCAGUCAUCAACAACAAAAUGGACAAGUAAUUGGUUUAGGUGGUAUUGGACCCUUAGAAAAUGAUCCUGACACCAAACUCUUCGUUGUGAAAAAGACUGGUGACAGUCAAGGUAUUACUGCUCUCAUCAGUCGUCAACUUCAAGAAGAAAGAGUGCCGCUGCUGUACACGACUCAGGAAAUGCUGAACAACACUUUGCAUCAUAUUAAUCACCUACGUACACCUCCCUUACAUCCUGUGCAAUGCAACAAUGUUCAGUCUUCCCUGUAAUAUUCCCGUGACACAAACUGUGCAAUUAUUUAGCACAAAUUUGUACGUGAUAUAUGUUAUGUUUCUGCAAUGGAUAUUCAUAUAGUUACACAAAUAUCAUGGGGUAACUUCAUUUAUUUUCUUCUGGUUAUUGUAUUCAGCAGGAGAUCCAAAUGCAUGGAGAUUGGGAAGAAUCGAAGAGACUGAUCAUGAAACACCUGU
RNA transcript from Habropoda laboriosa, 1613 nucleotides. It is a transcript of the gene named popeye domain-containing protein 3-like, with no coding region annotated. Lineage: Eukaryota; Metazoa; Arthropoda; Insecta; Hymenoptera; Apidae. The transcript has 9 exons. The record is from RefSeq and is a predicted model, not a curated record.